GAUGAACGCUGGCGGCGUGCCUAAUACAUGCAAGUCGAGCGAACAGACGAGGAGCUUGCUCCUCUGACGUUAGCGGCGGACGGGUGAGUAACACGUGGAUAACCUACCUAUAAGACUGGGAUAACUUCGGGAAACCGGAGCUAAUACCGGAUAAUAUAUUGAACCGCAUGGUUCAAUAGUGAAAGACGGUUUUGCUGUCACUUAUAGAUGGAUCCGCGCCGCAUUAGCUAGUUGGUAAGGUAACGGCUUACCAAGGCAACGAUGCGUAGCCGACCUGAGAGGGUGAUCGGCCACACUGGAACUGAGGCACGGUCCAGACUCCUAAGGGAGGCAGCAGUAGGGAAUCUUCCGCAAUGGGCGAAAGCCUGACGGAGCAACGCCGCGUGAGUGAUGAAGGUCUUCGGAUCGUAAAACUCUGUUAUUAGGGAAGAACAAAUGUGUAAGUAACUAUGCACGUCUUGACGGUACCUAAUCAGAAAGCCACGGCUAACUACGUG
Molecule: ribosomal RNA, 497 nt
Filed under: uncultured bacterium
Lineage: Bacteria
Description: partial 16S ribosomal RNA
Rfam family: Bacterial small subunit ribosomal RNA
Source: RNAcentral